GACGAACGCUGGCGGCGUGCCUAAUACAUGCAAGUCGAACGAACUCUGGUAUUGAUUGGUGCUUGCAUCAUGAUUUACAUUUGAGUGAGUGGCGAACUGGUGAGUAACACGUGGGAAACCUGCCCAGAAGCGGGGGAUAACACCUGGAAACAGAUGCUAAUACCGCAUAACAACUUGGACCGCAUGGUCCGAGUUUGAAAGAUGGCUUCGGCUAUCACUUUUGGAUGGUCCCGCGGCGUAUUAGCUAGAUGGUGGGGUAACGGCUCACCAUGGCAAUGAUACGUAGCCGACCUGAGAGGGUAAUCGGCCACAUUGGGACUGAGACACGGCCCAAACUCCUACGGGAGGCAGCAGUAGGGAAUCUUCCACAAUGGACGAAAGUCUGAUGGAGCAACGCCGCGUGAGUGAAGAAGGGUUUCGGCUCGUAAAACUCUGUUGUUAAAGAAGAACAUAUCUGAGGGUAACUGUUCAGGUAUUGACGGUAUUUAACCAGAAAGCCACGGCUAACUACGUGCCAGCAGCCGCGGUAAUACGUAGGUGGCAAGCGUUGUCCGGAUUUAUUGGGCGUAAAGCGAGCGCAGGCGGUUUUUUAAGUCUGAUGUGAAAGCCUUCGGCUCAACCGAAGAAGUGCAUCGGAAACUGGGAAACUUGAGUGCAGAAGAGGACAGUGGAACUCCAUGUGUAGCGGUGAAAUGCGUAGAUAUAUGGAAGAACACCAGUGGCGAAGGCGGCUGUCUGGUCUGUAACUGACGCUGAGGCUCGAAAGUAUGGGUAGCAAACAGGAUUAGAUACCCUGGUAGUCCAUACCGUAAACGAUGAAUGCUAAGUGUUGGAGGGUUUCCGCCCUUCAGUGCUGCAGCUAACGCAUUAAGCAUUCCGCCUGGGGAGUACGGCCGCAAGGCUGAAACUCAAAGGAAUUGACGGGGGCCCGCACAAGCGGUGGAGCAUGUGGUUUAAUUCGAAGCUACGCGAAGAACCUUACCAGGUCUUGACAUACUAUGCAAAUCUAAGAGAUUAGACGUUCCCUUCGGGGACAUGGAUACAGGUGGUGCAUGGUUGUCGUCAGCUCGUGUCGUGAGAUGUUGGGUUAAGUCCCGCAACGAGCGCAACCCUUAUUAUCAGUUGCCAGCAUUAAGUUGGGCACUCUGGUGAGACUGCCGGUGACAAACCGGAGGAAGGUGGGGAUGACGUCAAAUCAUCAUGCCCCUUAUGACCUGGGCUACACACGUGCUACAAUGGAUGGUACAACGAGUUGCGAACUCGCGAGAGUAAGCUAAUCUCUUAAAGCCAUUCUCAGUUCGGAUUGUAGGCUGCAACUCGCCUACAUGAAGUCGGAAUCGCUAGUAAUCGCGGAUCAGCAUGCCGCGGUGAAUACGUUCCCGGACCUUGUACACACCGCCCGUCACACCAUGAGAGUUUGUAACACCCAAAGUCGGUGGGGUAACCUUUUAGGAACCAGCCGCCUAAGGUGGGACAGAUGAUUAGGGUG
Molecule: ribosomal RNA, 1489 nt
Filed under: Lactiplantibacillus pentosus
Lineage: Bacteria; Bacillati; Bacillota; Bacilli; Lactobacillales; Lactobacillaceae
Description: bacterial SSU rRNA
Rfam family: Bacterial small subunit ribosomal RNA
Source: RNAcentral